UUUUGAGUCGCGGGUGUCUUAGCCUAGCAAGCUAAGCAUCGGGGAGCAAGGCUGACUUAGCAAGAUCAAGCGUCUUGGCUUGUCUAAGUGCCGCACGAGCUUAGGGAACGACUAAGUCCGUGACAUUAGGUACUACCUAAAUAGCCCUUAGGUACUACCUUAAUAGCCCUUAGGUACCACCUUAAAGGACCUUAGGUACUACCUUAGUUAAAGUUGAGUUUUACCUAUUCCAAACCUUGGGCCUUCCUUUGUGACCCUUAGACCAUGCCACUAUGUGAUUCUCUUGUGUGGGGAAGGGAUUCACCUUUGCUUUUUUGGGACUGUACCUUAUGUACUACCUUAAUAGCCCUUAGGUACUACCUUAAUAGCUUUUAGCUACUAUCUUAAUGUACCUUAGGUAUUACCUUAAAGGACCUUAGGUACUACCUUAAUUAAAGUUGGGUUCUACUUAUCCCAAGCCUUGGGCCUUCCUUUGUGACCCUUACACCAUGCCAUUAUGUGAUUCUCUUGUGUGGACAAAUGGUUUACCUUUGUUUUUUUGCAGACUGUACCUUAGGUACUACCUUAAUAUCCUUCAAGUACUACCUUAAUCUACCUUGGGUACUACCUUAAGGGACCUUAGGUACUACGUCAGUUAAAGUUGGGUUCUACCUAUCCCAAGCAUCGGGCUUUCCUUUGUAACCCUUAGACUCAAAUAGUGAUCAAAUUAAUAUAAGAAAUCUAUGAAAAAAUAAUAAUAACUUUAUUGUUUAUUUUCUAUAUAAAAUCAUAUAUAUAUAUUUU
This 783-nucleotide long non-coding RNA is filed under the name Vitis vinifera (wine grape). RNAcentral's name for it is "long non-coding RNA (VVIN_LNC002154)". The record is from RNAcentral. Lineage: Eukaryota; Viridiplantae; Streptophyta; Magnoliopsida; Vitales; Vitaceae.